UGUAAAAAGGGAUAAUUGCCUAUAUACCCCUCAAAACUUCGAAAAUAUCUCAUUUACUCCUACUUUUUUUUCUUUCCAAUAUACCCCUCAUAUGUUCCUCCGUUAUUCCAAAAUACCUCUGCAGUUACCACUCGUUAAGUUAACUUGGGUUAAACGUGAGUUAAAUAUCUACCACAGUUAAAAAAAUUAAAAUACCACUUUUGCCCUUAACAUAAGAGCAAAUAAGAAAUGUUGGUGAUGGUAGAAGGGUAUAUUUGAAAAGAUCAAAAAGCAAAAUAUCUUUUGUACCCCUAACUUAAGGGCAAAUAAGAAAAGUCGGUGAUGAUAGAAGGGUAUAUUUGAAAGGGCAAAAUAGUAAUUUAUAGAGAUAACUGAGUUCAUUAACAUAUUUUAACUCUAGGGGUAUAUUAGAAAUAGGUUGAAACGUAUAAAGGGUAUUUUCAAUAUUAGCCUUCUAAGAGGGGUAAAUCAAAAAGUCGGAAACUUUUCAGGGGUAUAUAAGCAAUUGCCCCUUGUAAAAAAUAAUGUUAAAAAAAUUAAAAAUAUUUGCAAAGUAAACUUGAGAGUUGAGGAAAAAAAAUUUAAAUUGAAAGUGUAAGAGUAGGAGGAAUUAAUCUUUGUAGAAGAAGAUGAAUGAACAGUUGUUUAUUAUGAUGAAUUUGGAUGUUUGUAGUAAUAUUUAUAGAUGUAAAAUAAAUUUUAUUUUUUUAAAAAAUAUAAAAUUAUUUUUUAUUUUUUGAU
This 741-nucleotide long non-coding RNA is filed under the name Ananas comosus (pineapple). RNAcentral's name for it is "long non-coding RNA (ACOM_LNC040642)". The record is from RNAcentral. Lineage: Eukaryota; Viridiplantae; Streptophyta; Magnoliopsida; Poales; Bromeliaceae.